This 769-nucleotide long non-coding RNA is filed under the name Gallus gallus (chicken). Lineage: Eukaryota; Metazoa; Chordata; Aves; Galliformes; Phasianidae. The record is from RNAcentral.
CAAACAUUUCCAAAGAGCAUAUAUCCAACCACCAGCCACAGAUGAGAGGAAACACACCAAUUUCUACAACAACUAAUAAGGAAACCUUGACAACGAUAUAGCAAACUCCUAACAGACGACGUGAUCGCUGGAACUUAACAAGUGCUGCCAAACCAUGACAAACUAUUAGAGUCACUGCCAGCAGAACGUAUCCAACUAUAGUUGUAAUCAGUCCCUCAAAGUGAGAUGCUUGAACAUAUUCCUCAAAGCCCAGGCCAACAAUGGAGAAGUGACCAAUGUGGUAUGGACAAAAUGCAAACACAAGUAUGAACAACGUAUUUAAAGAUACCACCCAAAAGACAUGUUCUAAAAAAACCAAAGAUCCGUCAAGCCCAAGCAUUCGCUCCCAAGUAAGCUCUUCUGCUGCUCGAUCCCAUUCCAAAGCAUUCCAGUUCAUGUCAUCUUGUGCUCCAUUGUUUGCAUCUGCUGCAUCUUCUACCACAGCAUCUUCUUCAUCUUCAUUAUCCUCCUCCUCUUCAUCUACCUGUUCUUCUUGAAUUUCAGGGUUCUCACCUACAACUGCAUUGUCAGCAGCUGCGUUAGCAGGCUGAUCAAGCACAGCAUUUUCAACAGCUCCAUUUGCAACAGCCUGAGCCUCGUUUUGUUGACCAACACCAUUGAGUGGCUGCUGCUGAUUUUGUUCCAACCACUGUGGUGCUCCUCCAUGGACGAUCUGUUCACGUAACCAAACAAGGCUGAUAAAUGCACACAGAGUGCAUGUCACCACAAA